GGGUCAGUAGGUUGGUCGUGCCACCGGUACGUACUGGUCUCACUGAUUCCUCCUUCCUGAAGAACCGUAAUGCCAUUAUUUUGGUGUUGCGGGGAAACAGGACUGUUACUUUGAAAAAAUGAGAGUGUUUAAAGCAAGCUAACGCUUGAAUACAUUAGCAUGGAAUAAUGAAAUAGGACGAACGAUCCUAUUUUGUUGGUUUCUAGGAUUGACGUA
RNAcentral lists this ribosomal RNA (216 nucleotides) under Glomeromycotina sp. Its description in RNAcentral is "partial small subunit ribosomal RNA". The stretch from base 40 to 216 matches the Rfam family "Eukaryotic small subunit ribosomal RNA", at positions 686 to 864 of the family's 1831-position model. The record is from RNAcentral. Lineage: Eukaryota; Fungi; Glomeromycota.